Molecule: unclassified non-coding RNA, 182 nt
Filed under: uncultured Cyberlindnera
Lineage: Eukaryota; Fungi; Ascomycota; Saccharomycetes; Phaffomycetales; Phaffomycetaceae
Description: sequence contains ITS2
Source: RNAcentral
CUCUCUCAAGCCUUCGGGUUUGGUAUUGAGUGAUACUCUUCUUUGUGUUAACUUGAAAUACUGUGGCAAGAGCUGCUGUAGCAGAUCUCCUCUGAACUAACGUUUCUAGGUUCUACCAAUUCGUUAUGGGCAGUUGAAGUCUCUUCUAGCAUAUAGGCUCGGCCUUUACAAUAUCUCCAUAA